This 408-nucleotide ribosomal RNA is filed under the name uncultured bacterium. RNAcentral describes it as "partial 16S ribosomal RNA". It matches the Rfam family "Bacterial small subunit ribosomal RNA", at positions 28 to 526 of the family's 1533-position model. The record is from RNAcentral.
GACGAACGCUGGCGGCGUGCUUAACACAUGCAAGUCGAACGAAGUGGCGAACGGGUGAGUAACGCGUAAUCAACCUGCCCUUCAGAGGGGGACAACAGUUGGAAACGACUGCUAAUACCGCAUACUGAAGGAGGGGAUGGCGUCGUCUUCGCUAGGUGGAGCGGUAACGGCCAACCAAGGCGAUGAUCAGUAGGCGGUCUGAGAGGAGGAAACGCCACAUUGGGACGGAGACACGGCCCAGACUCCUACGGGAGGGAGCAGUUGGGAAUUUUCCGCAAUGGAGGAAAGUCUGACGGAGCAACGCCGCGGGAGAGAUGACGGCCUUCGGGUUGGAAAGGUCUGUUAAUCGGGACGCGGUACCGGAAUAGAAAGCCACGGCUAACUACGUGCCAGCAGCCGCGGUAAUUC